GCAGGCUCAACCAGAGGGUGUUUAGCCGGUGUGAAACGCAAGCAAAAUUCAAAAACUUGCUAAAAUACACAAGAGAUAGACAACUGGGUAAACUUACAGUGUUUUUACAAGAUGGAGAAGUUAAAUUACAUUUUUGGGGUUUAAUCAAUACAACGAGUUCUUCGGAACGUCGCUCAGACGGUUGCAGCACCUUCAGGUUUCUAAGCCGUCAGGGUUUCUUCUUGACAGGCCUGAUGGUCCCUGUGUGCCUGUAUGUGUCCUGUGUUUGUCUGCGUUAGCCGCCAUAAAACACCAGGAGCCUCUUGAACUGCAAGCUCCUAGAGGUGAAAGGUCACCUGGCAGGUGGCAGAAGAAGGUCAAGGGCAUGUCAGAAGUUGACGAGAAGUUACCAAUGUUUCUGACAGGGAUUUGGCCCUUCUUCUCAUGGGUCACGACUUCCCUCUGUGCCUAGCGCCAGAGGCGGUUUGUUCUCUGCUCAAGAGUGAUAUAACUUCCUUGACCCUUUCAUAUAAAUUCUUUUGAUUGGGAGUUCUGCUGUCACAACACCAACUUAGGGGCAUUAAGUGCAAGUCUGAAAGGAUUUGGCAUUGGUUUUGGGAGUAUAAAAGAUGGAGAAAAUACUUUACCAUGGCUUUGAAAUUACUGGCAUCCAAAACACCCAACAUUUUAUAUCAUGUAUUUCCCUCCCCAUUUUGUGUCAAAUUUGGACCAUCUAUUAGAGUAUGCUUCGAUGCAAGACACCACGUGAAUAAAGUAAAAAUGUUCAUACA
Long non-coding RNA from Sinocyclocheilus grahami, 770 nucleotides. RefSeq lists it as uncharacterized. The record is from RefSeq and is a predicted model, not a curated record. The transcript is spliced from 3 exons. Lineage: Eukaryota; Metazoa; Chordata; Actinopteri; Cypriniformes; Cyprinidae.